Molecule: transfer RNA, 74 nt
Filed under: Allomyces arbusculus
Lineage: Eukaryota; Fungi; Blastocladiomycota; Blastocladiomycetes; Blastocladiales; Blastocladiaceae
Also listed under: 1 other name
Description: tRNA-Arg
Rfam family: tRNA
About the family: Transfer RNA (tRNA) molecules are approximately 80 nucleotides in length.
Source: RNAcentral
GCCCGACUGGCGCAAUUGGCUAGCGCAUCUGACUUCUAAUCAGAAGGCUGCGGGUUCGACCCCCGCGUUGGGUG